This 794-nucleotide long non-coding RNA is filed under the name Equus asinus (donkey). Its description in RNAcentral is "lncRNA (ENSEASG00005032543.1)". The record is from RNAcentral. Lineage: Eukaryota; Metazoa; Chordata; Mammalia; Perissodactyla; Equidae.
GGGCCAGCGUGGAUGGAGGGAGAGAAGGCGCCGAGGGUUUGGGCAGGUGGGAUUCAGGGAGAGCAGUGAGCAGUGGGGGGGGACAUCCACCUUUGGUUGAGGCCCUCCCUGCACAGGUUGUUGGCUUCCCCUCUCAGACCAGCAAGGGGGGGGGGGGCGGAUUUAACCAUCUGACUCAGACCCCCUGGAGGGGAGACAGGCUGUGCCUCUCCUGAUGCUCCUGGACCCCCGCACUAUUGCUGGGUUCCCGAGGCCUGGACCCUGACUGUUGGUCUGUGUCACCCGCUCUCCCACCCCAGGCGUGCCCUCUUCUGUGAGGGUGCUGGCUCGGCCCUGGCCCUCAGGCUCCUGCGCCCAUGGCCCUGCCGGCCCUCUGCUGCCCCCUGCGGCCCUGCGGGGAAAGCUGCCCGUCCAGGCCUGGCUGACCCCCUCUCUGUGCGGUGGCUCAAGUGGACUUACCGGCCAGGUUCUUGGUGGGGCUCAAGGUCAUUCCCCAGGCAUUGGCCUGUGCUGAGCUGACUGACUCCAGCCCCAGGGUUCCUGCUGAAACCCUGCCCCACCAUCUCCGGCCCCGUCAGUCAUUAAAGGUCUCACCUCUGCUGCUACCGUCACCAUCGGCCUUGGGCAGAUCAAGAUUAGCCUGGCUACAGGUUUCUCCAUUUUUGAAAUCUUUUUUUAAGAACUAGUUUUAGUUUUAUCAAUUUCUUUAUUGAUUUCCCAUUUUCAGUGUCAUUAAUUUCUGCUGUAAUUUUUAUUAUUUCCUUUCUUCUGUUUACUUUAGGAUUCCUUUGUCC